RNA transcript from Haliotis rubra (blacklip abalone), 2106 nucleotides. It is a transcript of the gene named ribosome-recycling factor, mitochondrial-like, with no coding region annotated. The record is from RefSeq and is a predicted model, not a curated record. NCBI's taxonomy places the organism in Eukaryota, Metazoa, Mollusca, Gastropoda, Lepetellida, Haliotidae. The transcript has 8 exons.
GUCGGCCUUUUCGCCUUGACGGCGUGUACUUGCAUUUUACGAGACAUCCUAAACACAUUUGAACUCAAUUAAACUGAACUGUACAUGACAGGGAGAUGUCCCUGGUGCGCACUGUGUUGUUGUGCCCACGGCUGGUGAGGAUGGUGAAGGUGCAGACAGUGCAGUGCUGUCUGCAGAUGUGCAGACAGUCACCCCGUAUGUUGCAUCCAGACCUGCACACUCCCCAGGGAUCAUGGCUGCUGACCCGCUCUUAUGCUAAGAAGGGAAAGAAAGACAAAGGGGGAGGUAAAGGGAAGGGAGGCAGUGGGAGGAAGAUUUCAUUGACAGCAGAGGAUAUGGAAGGUAUACUUGACAUCACAGCUGUUGAUGCAGAGAUGCAGCAUGCUCUCGAUGACCUCAAGCAACAGUACAUCCAUCAGUUGUCCCUCCGUACAUCCCCAGGUGUGUUUCACAACUUGAUGGUGUCGACAACUGAUGGGCGUUUCCCUCUGAUGCAGCUUGGUCAGAUUGUACAGAAGUCUCCCCAGCUGCUCAUCAUCAACCUUGCUGCAUCCUCUCAGCACCUGCCAGCAGUAAAGAUGGCCAUCGAACAGUCUGGGAUGAAUGUGAACCCAACACAAGACGGAACAACCCUCAUUGUCCCCCUGCCAAAGGUAACAACAGAACAUCGUGAAAGUUUGGCGAAGAAUGCAAAGGUCUUGUGUAACAAGUUGAAGGACAGAUUACGAGACAUCCAUGCUAAGCAUGCAAAGAAGGUCAAGGCCAAUAAGGAAGGUCACCCUGAGGAUCUUAUACGAGACGUGCAGGACCUGGUGUUGGAGACAAUGAGGAGAUACAGUAGCCAGGCUGAGGAGCUCCUGCAGGCCAAAACAAAGGACCUUCUCGGGAAAUGAAAACUCUGUGGUUUUAGGAACACCCAGGAAAACCUAACAAACAUUAAUCCAUGGCCAGUUUUAAGGUGUCAAUACUGGCAUUUUCCUUACAAGCUGUCUACACUAAGUGACACUUGGUGAAGUAUGAGAACACUUGACAAACACUUAGUAAACAAUUGGUGAACACCAAGAAAUCAGUGGUUACCUGGUUUAUUACCACAUGAACUCUGGUUUGUGAAUACCUGGUGAUUGUCUUAUAGAACACCCUGGAACACAUUGUCAGGGGCCCUGUUACAGAAUAUCAUCAUAGGCGAGGGCUGUCAUGCAUCAUAUACUGUAACAUUGACUUACAUCAGUCUUAGUUCCAUUAUCACUUUAGGCAAUAUGUGUGAAUUGUAUAUGUUACUGUUAACAAUAUCUAACGAAUGCAGGAUGUGUUUUUGAAUUGGUCACUCAGGGAUUUAACUAGACCUGUUUAGAGGCUGACAUUCAGCCCUAGCUAGGAACAAGUGUCAGUAAGUAUACCCAUAUUGGAGUUAAUAAGUUCCCAAUUCAUCUGUUAUAGAGGUUACUGAGACUGGCUGUCUGUCACAGAGAUCAUUAAUCGUUAAAAAAUUAUUGAUCGAUUAAUAAUAAAUAUGGAAGAAUUAGCCUUCAGCCAAAAUGAAAAAAUCAAUAUCAGCUUAUUUUACAUCACCGGUGUGUGGUGACACAUUUAUGAAUCGUUUACUAACAACAGCAGCAUUCUGAACAUUAUUUAGAAGUACCACAUAAAUAAAAACAUAACUUGUGUGUGGUUUUUUAUAACUUAAGAAUUUAGUGAUGACACAAUUUUCAUAUGAAUAAUCAUCAAUAAUUCUUCUAUUGAUGAUAUUUCCGAUUAUCAAUCUUUUCAUACAGUAAUGUGGAUGUUACUGUUAUGGCUGUCUGUGAUGUUUAUUUCACCAAGGUCCAUACUGGAUCACUCACUAUUUCAGCAAGGAUGAAGAAUCUGUAAUAUUUAGUUCAACAUUAUGGCAUUGAUUGGAUGUUUCAAUACUUUUGAAUUCACACAAUUAAGAACAAUUUAAGAAUAAAUAUAAAAAUUAAUACGAUCACAAUAUUUCCCAAUAUGCCUGCCAAGAGAAGUUAGUGAAUCAUAUUUCAUCCUUGUCACUGUGUGACAUAGAAGGGUGACAUGUAUGUUACAGUCUGUAUGUGACAUGGUAAACCAAUAAACACUUGUGUACAGUUU